RNAcentral lists this Y RNA (96 nucleotides) under Junco hyemalis (dark-eyed junco). RNAcentral's name for it is "Y RNA (ENSJHYG00000006783.1)". It matches the Rfam family "Y RNA". From Rfam's summary of the family: Y RNAs are components of the Ro ribonucleoprotein particle (Ro RNP), in association with Ro60 and La proteins. The Y RNAs and Ro60 and La proteins are well conserved, but the function of the Ro RNP is not known. In humans the RNA component can be one of four small RNAs -- hY1, hY3, hY4 and hY5. The record is from Rfam by way of RNAcentral. Lineage: Eukaryota; Metazoa; Chordata; Aves; Passeriformes; Passerellidae.
GGCUGGUCCGAUGGUAGUGGGUACACAGAAGUUAUUACUGUUAGUUAAACUAACCUCUCUAUGUUCCGCCCCACUGCUAACCUUGACUGGUCUUUU